AAAAUAUAGAUAAUUUUUAAAAUUUAGUAAAUUCUUUACUAUGGUUGAUGUUGACAAAACCCUAGUAUCUAAUACCAACUCUAACGAUUCUUCGUAACUAUGUUUACAUCACGCGUAUAUAAUCACUUAGAGCACACACACUAAAAAAGAGUCUAAAAACAACCUAUUUGUCGUGCCGUGAAUUUCCAUCAAUACAUUCUUACAUAACAGUUCACAAAUAUUAAUAAAAGAUUUCUUAAAACAUUUCUUAAACGAAAGAAAAAUAACGAAUUUAUUGCUCUUCAAGAUUGAAGCGAAUUAUUCGGACUCGUCCAGUAUUAUCGAAGGCAACGGGAUGGUGGUCGUCGUCCACUUGGCAAAAGUCCAACUCUGUUGGCGGGAAAUCAUGGAGCAGGCGCUGGAGCGUGUGCGGUUAAUCCGUUGUGCGGCGCGCGUGUCGUGCCGGAUUCGAAACAGUUUUCGUUAUAUUUCGUGUUAGCGAAGUAGCGCCCGUAUUAAUCCGGGCAUAAAUGGAUUUAUCGAUUCGUUCAAUUAACGCGCUCGCCGAACCGUUGAAAUACGUGAUUAAUAGGGGAGGGAUAUGUGUUUAUAAGCGAUCACAUCUGGAAAGCGGGUUGUUAGACGAGAGCUGCCAUUCCCGCAAUUGAAUACACGGACCGAUCGCCGGCCGAGCACCGCUGAUUUCCCUCCUACCGUUUAUUUGCAACGAUCGAUCCAUCCGUCAACCGACGAUUAUUAACACUUCUGCCACGGAACGUGGGCUCGAGAUAAAAUUCGACAUUCGACUUUGAUCGAAUUAAAAACUUUUCGUUCCAUCGUGGUUGUUUGGAUUUGUUAAUUACGUUAACACGAUUAUUCGAAGCUGUUCAAAAUUAUCGUAUUUCAAGGUAUAUAUACAUCCUGAUCCCAAUUUGUGUGGAAAAUUAAGGAGGAGGGGGGAGGAGGGUGAAAAGGAACGGCCAGCCUAUGAUCAUAGCAUAGACACGUUCAUACACAUGUGGUUUUCAACGUGAACCGCCUAUGGCUGGCGAUACGGAAUUACGAGGAUACGCUGGAAAAACAAAGGAGAGAGAGAGAAAGAGAGAGAAAGAAUGGGAAGGAAAAGAAAAAAAGACGAAAAAAAGAAAAAAAAGGGAAGUUGCAUUGGGGAGACGCAGGCACGCAUGAAACGCGUGGAGAGAGCGUGUUUUUCUUUGAGGGGACGAGAGAGGGAAGGGGAGGGGGGGAGUCUCUUUUUUUCAAGGAUCGGCUCGAUGGAAGAGUGAAGCACGUCGCAACGAGCCGCCGCCUCAUCCGCGCGCUCUCGAGAGGAAAGGGAGAAGUAGGAAGGAGAGGAGGGAGUGGGUGAUGCCACUCGAGAAGGGAGGGGGAAGCAACGGUUCGAGACACUGUGGAAGAAAUUCGAGUCGACUCUGCAGUUACAUCCGUGCGUUUUGUGCAUCCUUUUCUUUUUUCUUGCCAUUAUUCAAGUUUCAUAGAGGUUUGCAUGUUUAUCGAGAUCAAUGCUUCGAAGGUGUAUUUUUAUUAUGUGGGUAGAAAAAGAAAAAAAAAAGAGCGACAGCUCGUCAUAUAAAAUUAAAAGGAAUUGACAUUUUCAUCGAAUCGUUUCUUGGAAUAAUCGAAAUAGUCGAAAGUUCGAGUAGUAUUUCGAAAUGGACAGAUGUCAAGCAGGGAAACGAAUUAUCUUAAAGAAAAAAUUCGGUAGAAUUUUAUUUGAUUUUAUACGAACAAAAAUUUAAAAAAAAAAUUCCAUCCCGUUUAUCCGAUAAACGACUCGUAAAACUAGCAAUGAUCAUCGAUUUAUGCGUUAUCCGAUUCCAUAUUUGAUCGUUUAUUUGUCAAAUUCAUGGCGAGAGAGAUCAGUAAAAAUGAUGACGGAGACGCGGAAAUGAAUUUUUUUGUUUUUUCCCGACACGGCCGGAAACGAAUCGACUUCCAUUUAUAAACUCAAUUAGCGCAGAAAACUAUUAAUUUUCCGGGAAGUGGAAUUAAUCGACCGCCAUCGCGACGAUAAAGGGGAUGAUUAAACGCGGUUGGAAACGGCGCGCACGCGUUCACACACCCAUUCGAUGAAACCCAAAAUUCCAUCCUUCUUUCUCACGCGCGCGUGAUGCUAGUUGUUUCGUUAUUACAAAUACCUCUCUCUCUCUCUUUUUUUCUAUUCCAGACGCGAGCAAUGAUUCUCGACCCGUUAUAACGUUUCAACGAUGAUUAAAUUCGAUAUCUUAUAUGUGUAUAUAGUUCAUAAGUUAUUUGAAGACUAAAAAAAAAAAGAAGGUUAAUAUAAGGUUAAGGUAAAUAUUCGAAAUAUAUCCCGUUCAAGCGUCUGAAUUGACGAUAAUUAUCCCAUAGAAUUGUUAUUUCACAUAGAUCGUUGAAGCGAUAAAAUUUCUACAGAGAAUUGCUAUUAGUGAACAACGAUCGAACGUGUAUCCACUUAAUAUCUCCACUUUCUUCGUGACACUUGUAAAACCUUGUUAAAUCAAUUUCAUUUUCCCCGGAUUGAAUCGAUGCGAAUCGUUCGCAAAAAUGUUCGAAUGUACGACGAAGGAUAAUAGUAAAAGUGAAUGGCGGGGAAAAAAAAAAAAGAAAAAAAGUCUGGAACAGAAAAUGGAAAAUCCGCGAUUUCGUGUAAACCACUCGUUCACUCGUUGAAAACCUUUGGUGCAUCGUCGAACGCGAAUUAAAUUACGAGGAUCAUCAUUGUUGCUCGAAUCCCGGUGCUCGGCCAUAAAGGUGAAAUCGUGCCGCGUGUUUCGCGACCGUUCCGCCUUUAAACGAAUUUCAUGCUCUCGGUCAAUGCCUCGGUGCAUACCUUUCGAAGCGGCGGACAAUCGGCCGAAACGCGUUGAUUUCUAGGGAAUUCGAAUAAAAAAAGAAGAGGAGGGAGGGGAAAAAAAAA
Apis mellifera (honey bee) is the source of this 2902-nucleotide long non-coding RNA. RefSeq lists it as uncharacterized. The transcript is spliced from 2 exons. NCBI's taxonomy places the organism in Eukaryota, Metazoa, Arthropoda, Insecta, Hymenoptera, Apidae. The record is from RefSeq and is a predicted model, not a curated record.